AUUGAACGCUGGCGGCAGGCCUUACACAUGCAAGUCGAACGAGUGGCGGACGGGUGAGUAAUGUCUGGGAAACUGCCUGAUGGAGGGGGAUAAAUACUGGAAACGGUAGCUAAUACCGCAUACCAUCAGAUGUGCCCAGUUGGGAUUAGCUAGUAGGUGGGGUAACGCCUCACCUAGGCGACGAUCCCUAGCUGGUCUGAGAGGAUGACCAGCCACACUGGAACGGAGACACGGUCCAGACUCCUACGGGAGGCAGCAGUGGGGAAUAUUGCACAAUGGGCGCAAGCCUGAUGCAGCCAUGCCGCGUGUAUGAAGAAGGCCUUCGGGUUGUAAAGUACUUUCAGCGGGGAGGCGUUACCCGCAUAAGAAGCACCGGCUAACUCCGUGCCAGCAGCCGCGGUAAUUC
RNAcentral lists this ribosomal RNA (406 nucleotides) under uncultured bacterium. RNAcentral's name for it is "partial 16S ribosomal RNA". It matches the Rfam family "Bacterial small subunit ribosomal RNA", at positions 30 to 526 of the family's 1533-position model. The record is from RNAcentral.